GUCGCUAUAGUAUAGUGGUUAGUACAACACGUUGUGGUUCGUCAAAAAGACCUCAAAUCCGUGUAGACGCCUGUUCGAUUCUGGCUAGCGACA
Molecule: non-coding RNA, 93 nt
Organism: Whalleya microplaca
Lineage: Eukaryota; Fungi; Ascomycota; Sordariomycetes; Xylariales; Xylariaceae
Source: the annotation of a GenBank genome assembly